GGUGAUGGACAGAGAGGCCUGGCAUGCUGUGAUUCAUGGGGUUGCAAAGAGUCGACACGACUGAGCGACUGAACUGAACUGAAUGUAAUCCAGUUGUCAUCAGGCAUCUGGGAAGUCUCUUUGGGGAAUGACACCAUAUCAGGGACUCAGUAUUAGUCUGUGUCAUUGACAGAUUGGGCACUGAGCAGUAGCAUCAGCGAGGUCAAACAUUGUAAGGGGAAAUCAGUGUUUUUGAGCUCAUGCAUGACUUUCAGCACUGCUAGCAAGGCCGGAUCAUGAGAUCAUGAGGCCAAAGUGAUGAAGCAGGUUGCACUGAGAUGUUCCUUCCUCUGCCAUCUCUGCAACUUUUGAGAGGAAUUUGAGAAGGAUCAGUGUUAACUCUUUCUUAAAUAUUUGGUAGACUGACUCUAUAGCUUUGGAGUCCAGUUCUCUGACCAUAUUGGAGAUUCUGAGGCAAAUCCAAUAUUAAUUAACUUAUUCCUUUUCUAUUUAAUUCAUCCAGAGUCAGUGUCUGUUACUCAUAAGUAAGAACCCUGACUCAUAUACAAUCUCAUUCCAGCAUGAAGCAAGUAGGAAAAAAGAAGGACAGGGUAUCAGAAGUGACUGAAGAAGUCUAACCGUGCUCCUCAGAGGUACUCUGUAAAUAUUGGGCAUCAGUGUUCUUUCUUCAUUGAGUUUUUAGUGCAUAAAAUUGUAUCUGUAUCCAUUCUCACUCUAGGCUGGAACUGGAGUUCAAUAAAGGCAGAGAAUAGAACAGCUUUGCAAUCUUCUCUGAACCAGCCCUAACACACUUCACCUUCCUCAGGUGGUUCUCUCAGCAGGAUGAUGCUGCCCCCACAAGAUGGCAGUUCCUGUCUCUUCAGACUCACUGUGUUUGGAAUCAACAUGUUUGCAUUGAAAGCAAAAAGACUAAGCUUCCUUUGAUUGGCUGGGUAAGAAACCUGAGACUCUCUCUGGGACUCAGAGGGACUGGAUGAAUAUACUCAAAAAAGAGAGCUAGACUGAGGAACCUGGCUUUAUUUCAGGGCGAGAGCUGUGUCUUCCAUGAUCCCCCUGAAGAAGAAUGGAGAAGCUUCUGGCCCUGUCUUUGGUGAUUCUGUGGCUUCAGCUGGCCAAGGUGAAUAACCAGCAAGGAAAACAGAAGCUUCAGACCCUGAGCAUCCAGGAGGGUGAAAAUGUCACCAUCAACUGCAGUUAUAAUAUUACUUUAACUGCCUUACAGUGGUACAGACAGGAUUCAAGACGAGGCUUUGUUCAUCUGAUUUUAAUGCGUUCAAAUGAGAGACAGACACAUAGUGGAAGACUGCACUUCACGCUUGACAACUCCAUCAAAAGCAGCUCCUUGUCCAUCACGGCUUCCCGGGCUGAGGACACUGCUACUUACCUCUGUGCUCCAGACACACAGUGCUCAGCUGGCACCCGCAGCCCCAGCGCAAACCUGCCAGAGCUGUCUCUUAGGAGCCGGGACAGUGUGCAGAGUUGGUGGUUUUGUCUUCCCUCAAAGGAGAGUCUGCAAACGGCUAGCAACACAAAAGGGAGCUCCUCUCAAAUUCCUGAGUUUUUGGUAGCAUGUCUAUAGUAAAGGGCAUGGGAUUUAGAAUGGGAAGCUGAAGUGCCCAAUUCAGCUCUACCCACCCUGGCUGUGUCUUUAGGUAUAUCAUGGGUGCAGCAGCCUUCAGUGUCCUCAGUUUAAACAAAGGAUUUAGACUGAUGAGCUUAAAGACCCUUCAAGUUCUAAUUUCACCAGGUCACUUCUGGAGGAUGAAGAAGGACUUCUCAGUAUUAGAAGGACUCAUCUGUUAUAUGUGCAGCCCCCUUAAGACAUACGUGGGGCUUUAAGAUGCAUGAGAUGAUUUUAGUAUUUCUCUAAUUCCUGUAUAGGAAACAGUAGAUUCAUCAGACAUUAGAAAUAAAAAGGAUUUAGGACUGUUUCCAUGAAACUUUUCACUUUAAAACUGAGGAGUGAAAAUGUUAUGUAA
This is a non-coding RNA of Bubalus bubalis (water buffalo), 1979 nucleotides long. NCBI's taxonomy places the organism in Eukaryota, Metazoa, Chordata, Mammalia, Artiodactyla, Bovidae. The record is from the annotation of a RefSeq genome assembly.